CACCAAGAAGAUCCCAACAAAAAAUUUUGGUUUGACAAGUUCAUCUGUUCUUGGAGCAGCCAGCAAACCAGAACGGCAUAUACCCUUUCCCUUCUCUUCCUUUCUGCGCAGUUGGCGAGAGAGAGCAGGCAUCAAUGGGUUCCAUUAUUCGUGAGUGGGUCGGGUUUCAGCAGUUCCCUUCUGCCACGCAAAGCAAACUCGUGGAAUUGUUUGGCAAAUUAAAGGAAGAGGGUGCAAGCACUUUGACCAUUCUUGUUAUGGGUAAAGGUGGAGUUGGAAAAUCUUCCACUGUCAAUUCUGUCAUUGGAGAGCGAGUGGUUAAUGUGAAUUCCUUCUCGUCAGAGGUGUCAAGACCUGUAAUGGUUUCACGGACCCGGUCUGGAUUCUCAUUGAACAUCAUAGACACCCCGGGCCUUGUGGAGGGUGGCUAUGUUAGUUACCAAGCUUUGGAAUUGAUUAAACGGUUUCUUUUGAACAAGACUAUAGAUGUUCUUUUGUAUGUUGACCGCUUGGAUGCAUAUAGAGUGGAUGACUUGGAU
Molecule: unclassified non-coding RNA, 539 nt
Filed under: Hevea brasiliensis (rubber tree)
Lineage: Eukaryota; Viridiplantae; Streptophyta; Magnoliopsida; Malpighiales; Euphorbiaceae
Source: RNAcentral